RNAcentral lists this ribosomal RNA (467 nucleotides) under uncultured bacterium. RNAcentral describes it as "partial 16S ribosomal RNA". It matches the Rfam family "Bacterial small subunit ribosomal RNA", at positions 28 to 506 of the family's 1533-position model. The record is from RNAcentral.
GACGAACGCUGGCGGCGUGCUUAACACAUGCAAGUCGAACGGAAAGGCCCUGCUUUUGUGGGGUGCUCGAGUGGCGAACGGGUGAGUAACACGUGAGUAACCUGCCCUUGACUUUGGGAUAACUUCAGGAAACUGGGGCUAAUACCGGAUAGGAGCUCCUGCUGCAUGGUGGGGGUUGGAAAGUUUCGGCGGUUGGGGAUGGGCUCGCGGCUUAUCAGCUUGUUGGUGGGGUAGUGGCUUACCAAGGCUUUGACGGGUAGCCGGCCUGAGAGGGUGACCGGCCACAUUGGGACUGAGAUACGGCCCAGACUCCUACGGGAGGCAGCAGUGGGGAAUAUGGCACAAUGGGCGGAAGCCUGAUGCAGCAACGCCGCGUGCGGGAUGACGGCCUUCGGGUUGUAAACCGCUUUCGCCUGUGACGAAGCGUGAGUGACGGGAAUGGGUAAAGAAGCACCGGCGAACUACGG